This 468-nucleotide ribosomal RNA is filed under the name uncultured bacterium. RNAcentral's name for it is "partial 16S ribosomal RNA". It matches the Rfam family "Bacterial small subunit ribosomal RNA", at positions 28 to 507 of the family's 1533-position model. The record is from RNAcentral.
GACGAACGCUGGCGGCGUGCUUAACACAUGCAAGUCGAACGGAAAGGCCCUGCUUUUGUGGGGUGCUCGAGUGGCGAACGGGGGAGUAACACGUGAGUAACCUGCCCUUGACUUUGGGAUAACUUCAGGAAACUGGGGCUAAUACCGGAUAGGAGCUCCUGCUGCAUGGUGGGGGUUGGAAAGUUUCGGCGGUUGGGGAUGGACUCGCGGCUUAUCAGCUUGCUGGUGGGGUAGUGGCUUACCAAGGCUUUGGCGGGUAGCCGGCCUGGGAGGGUGACCGGCCACAUUGGGACUGAGAUACGGCCCAGACUCCUACGGGAGGCAGCAGUGGGGAAUAUUGCACAAUGGGCGGAAGCCUGAUGCAGCAACGCCGCGUGCGGGAUGACGGCCUUCGGGUUGUAAACCGCUUUCGCCUGUGACGAAGCGUGAGUGACGGUAAUGGGUAAAGAAGCACCGGCUAACUACGUG